CCGGUGGCGGAUGGGCAUGCGUCGCAUUAGUUAGUUGGCGGUGUAACGGACCACCAAGACGACGAUGCGUAGGGGUUCUGAGAGGAAGGUCCCCCACACUGGUACUGAGACACGGACCAGACUCCUACGGGAGGCAGCAGUGAGGAAUAUUGGUCAAUGGGCGGGAGCCUGAACCAGCCAAGUCGCGUGAGGGAUGACGGCCCUAUGGGUUGUAAACCUCUUUUGCCGGGGAGCAAAGUGCCGCACGUGUGCGGUUUGGAGAGUACCCGGAGAAAAAGCAUCGGCUAACUCCGUGCCAGCAGCCGCGGUAAUACGGAGGAUGCGAGCGUUAUCCGGAUUUAUUGGGUUUAAAGGGUGCGUAGGCGGACGCUUAAGUCAGCGGUAAAAUUGCGGGGCUCAACCUCGUCGAGCCGUUGAAACUGGGUGCCUUGAGUGGGCGAGAAGUACGCGGAAUGCGUGGUGUAGCGGUGAAAUGCAUAGAUAUCACGCAGAACUCCGAUUGCGAAGGCAGCGUACCGGCGCCCAACUGACGCUGAAGCACGAAGGCGUGGGUAUCGAACAGGAUUAGAUACCCUGGUAGUCCACGCAGUAAACGAUGAAUGCUAGUUGUCCGGGGCGAUUGAGU
Molecule: ribosomal RNA, 625 nt
Filed under: uncultured bacterium
Lineage: Bacteria
Description: bacterial SSU rRNA
Rfam family: Bacterial small subunit ribosomal RNA
Source: RNAcentral